RNAcentral lists this ribosomal RNA (935 nucleotides) under Blastococcus sp. URHD0003. RNAcentral describes it as "bacterial SSU rRNA". It matches the Rfam family "Bacterial small subunit ribosomal RNA", at positions 56 to 1002 of the family's 1533-position model. Lineage: Bacteria; Bacillati; Actinomycetota; Actinomycetes; Geodermatophilales; Geodermatophilaceae. The record is from RNAcentral.
UGCAGUCGAACGAGACCCCCGCUUCGGUGGGGUGUUCUAGUGGCGAACGGGUGAGUAACACGUGGGCAACCUGCCCCCGGCUCUGGGAUAACUCCAAGAAAUUGGGGCUAAUACCGGAUAUGACCGCUGACCGCAUGGUCUGGUGGUGGAAAGAUUUAUCGGCUGGGGAUGGGCCCGCGGCCUAUCAGCUUGUUGGUGGGGUAGUGGCCUACCAAGGCGACGACGGGUAGCCGGCCUGAGAGGGUGACCGGCCACACUGGGACUGAGACACGGCCCAGACUCCUACGGGAGGCAGCAGUGGGGAAUAUUGCGCAAUGGGCGGAAGCCUGACGCAGCGACGCCGCGUGGGGGAUGACGGCCUUCGGGUUGUAAACCUCUUUCAGCAGGGACGAAGCGGAAGUGACGGUACCUGCAGAAGAAGCACCGGCCAACUACGUGCCAGCAGCCGCGGUAAUACGUAGGGUGCAAGCGUUGUCCGGAAUUAUUGGGCGUAAAGAGCUCGUAGGCGGUCUGUCGCGUCGGCUGUGAAAACCCGGAGCUCAACUCCGGGCCUGCAGUCGAUACGGGCAAACUGGAGUGUUGCAGGGGAGACUGGAAUUCCUGGUGUAGCGGUGAAAUGCGCAGAUAUCAGGAGGAACACCGGUGGCGAAGGCGGGUCUCUGGGCAACAACUGACGCUGAGGAGCGAAAGCGUGGGGAGCGAACAGGAUUAGAUACCCUGGUAGUCCACGCCGUAAACGUUGGGCGCUAGGUGUGGGGCUCAUUCCACGAGUUCCGUGCCGCAGCUAACGCAUUAAGCGCCCCGCCUGGGGAGUACGGCCGCNAGGNUAAAACUCAAANGAAUUGACGGGGGCCCGCACAAGCGGCGGANCAUGUUGCUUAAUUCGAUGCAACGCGAAGAACCUUACNUAGNCUUGACAUGCACGGAAAUCUCCC